ACUAACAUUUCCUAAGUUUCCUUCCAGCAGUGGAACAGAGACAACUGUCAGCCCAGCCGUGAGCCAGGAUGCCAGCUGUGCGUCUGAAGUGCAGAGAACAACAGAAGUACAUCUGUUUUGAGGGCCAACUGACCUACGGAUCGCUUUUGGAAUGCGUUGCCAAGGAGUUCAACAUCCCAAACAUAUGGCUUCCCUAAGAUACUUGAUCCAAUUGUGAAGGAUAUGAAAAUCCCGGAGAGAGAUGGAGUUAAGAUUCCCCUGUAUGACCCAGUACAUGGAACUAUUGUCCAAGUUACUGGUGACAGCCUUGGUCGUCACUGUCUGUUUGGUUUUGUAGAGAUUUCCUUAUGUGAUUGGUGUUAAACAGUCUUGCAUUCUAAACUCAUUGCAGAACUUAAUACAUGUGAAAGUUUCUCUGUUGAUAUUAUGCAUGAUAUCUUGGAGGGUGCGGCACAAUAUGAAAUGAAACUGAUUAUGUUACAUGAUCAGUAUACAACAUCAAAGGAAGUGGACAGGAGGAUUAAAAGCUUUAACUAUGGCUACAUGGAACAAAACAACAAACCACCUACAGUGAAGUUGGGAGAGGACUCAAAUGACUUGGGGUUAAAUGCCAUCCAGUCCUGGUGUUUACUUCUUACUCAUCUUUGGAGACUUAGUUUGUCCAAAUGAUCAGCACUGGUAUUUGCUACUGCUGUUGCUUCAAAUAGUGACUAUUGUAUUUUCACCAGUGUUAUCAAAAGGUAUCAGUAUUUUCUUGAAACACCUGAUCACCGAACACCACAGGUUAUUUAAACGUUUGUUUCCACACAAGAAGCUGCUACCAAAGCAUCAUUUCAUUGUGCAUUAUCCUACAUGUAUACUCAAAACAGGACCACUUUAGCAUAGCUGGUGCAUGCGCUAUGAAGCGAAACACAACUUCUUU
This is a long non-coding RNA of Oreochromis aureus, 922 nucleotides long. RefSeq lists it as uncharacterized. The transcript is spliced from 3 exons. The record is from RefSeq and is a predicted model, not a curated record. NCBI's taxonomy places the organism in Eukaryota, Metazoa, Chordata, Actinopteri, Cichliformes, Cichlidae.